RNAcentral lists this non-coding RNA (27 nucleotides) under Homo sapiens (human). The record is from RNAcentral. Lineage: Eukaryota; Metazoa; Chordata; Mammalia; Primates; Hominidae.
UAACAAGAGGAUUUGGUGGUGUGUGUG